RNAcentral lists this ribosomal RNA (253 nucleotides) under uncultured bacterium. RNAcentral's name for it is "partial 16S ribosomal RNA". It matches the Rfam family "Bacterial small subunit ribosomal RNA", at positions 524 to 776 of the family's 1533-position model. The record is from RNAcentral.
UACGAAGGGUGCAAACGUUGCUCGGAAUCAUUGGGCGUAAAGCGCACGUAGGCGGCCUCGAAAGUCGGAUGUGAAAUCCCUCGGCUCAACCAAGGAAGUGCAUCCGAAACUGUGAGGCUUGAGUACCAAAGAGGAUCGCGGAAUUCCCGGUGUAGAGGUGAAAUUCGUAGAUAUCAGGAGGAACACCGGUGGCGAAGGCGGAUCUCUGGGCCACUACUGACGCUGAGGAGCGAAAGCGUGGGGAGCGAACAGG